CAGGUUUACCUGUGUGACUGCGUACCUUUUGUAUAAUGGGUCAGCGACUUAUAUUCUGUAGCAAGGUUAACCGAAUAGGGGAGCCGGAGGGAAACCGAGUCUUAACCGGGCGUUAAGUUGCAGGGUAUAGACCCGAAACCCGGUGAUCUAGCCAUGGGCAGGUUGAAGGUUGGGUAACACUAACUGGAGGACCGAACCGACUAAUGUUGAAAAAUUAGCGGAUGACCUGUGGCUGGGGGUGAAAGGCCAAUCAAACCGGGAGAUAGCUGGUUCUCCCCGAAAGCUAUUUAGGUAGCGCCUCGUGAAUUCAUCUCCGGGGGUAGAGCACUGUUUCGGCUAGGGGGCCAUCCCGGCUUACCAACCCGAUGCAAACUGCGAAUACCGGAGAAUGUUAUCACGGGAGACACACGGCGGGUGCUAACGUCCGUCGUGAAGAGGGAAACAACCCAGACCGCCAGCUAAGGUCCCAAAGUCAUGGUUAAGUGGGAAACGAUGUGGGAAGGCCCAGACAGCCAGGAUGUUGGCUUAGAAGCAGCCAUCAUUUAAAGAAAGCGUAAUAGCUCACUGGUCGAGUCGGCCUGCGCGGAAGAUGUAACGGGGCUAAACCAUGCACCGAAGCUGCGGCAGCGACACUGUGUGUUGUUGGGUAGGGGAGCGUUCUGUAAGCCUGUGAAGGUGUGUCGUGAGGCAUGCUGGAGGUAUCAGAAGUGCGAAUGCUGACAUAAGUAACGAUAAAGCGGGUGAAAAGCCCGCUCGCCGGAAGACCAAGGGUUCCUGUCCAACGUUAAUCGGGGCAGGGUGAGUCGACCCCUAAGGCGAGGCCGAAAGGCGUAGUCGAUGGGAAACGGGUUAAUAUUCCCGUACUUGGUGUUACUGCGAAGGGGGGACGGAGAAGGCUAUGUUGGCCGGGCGACGGUUGUCCCGGUUUAAGCGUGUAGGUGUGUGUUCCAGGUAAAUCCGGUUCACUUUAACACUGAGGCGUGACGACGAGGCACUACGGUGCUGAAGCAACAAAUGCCCUGCUUCCAGGAAAAGCCUCUAAGCAUCAGGUAACAUCAAAUCGUACCCCAAACCGACACAGGUGGUCAGG
This 1090-nucleotide ribosomal RNA is filed under the name Salmonella enterica subsp. enterica serovar Enteritidis. RNAcentral describes it as "partial 23S ribosomal RNA". It matches the Rfam family "Bacterial large subunit ribosomal RNA", at positions 580 to 1671 of the family's 2925-position model. Lineage: Bacteria; Pseudomonadati; Pseudomonadota; Gammaproteobacteria; Enterobacterales; Enterobacteriaceae. The record is from RNAcentral.